RNAcentral lists this ribosomal RNA (757 nucleotides) under Lentilactobacillus buchneri. Its description in RNAcentral is "bacterial SSU rRNA". It matches the Rfam family "Bacterial small subunit ribosomal RNA", at positions 49 to 762 of the family's 1533-position model. Lineage: Bacteria; Bacillati; Bacillota; Bacilli; Lactobacillales; Lactobacillaceae. The record is from RNAcentral.
UAAUACAUGCAAGUCGAACGCGUCUCCGUUAAUGAUUUUAGGUGCUUGCACUUGAAAGAUUUAACAUUGAGACGAGUGGCGAACUGGUGAGUAACACGUGGGUAACCUGCCCUUGAAGUAGGGGAUAACACUUGGAAACAGGUGCUAAUACCGUAUAACAACCAAAACCACCUGGUUUUGGUUUAAAAGACGGCUUCGGCUGUCACUUUAGGAUGGACCCGCGGCGUAUUAGCUUGUUGGUAAGGUAACGGCUUACCAAGGCGAUGAUACGUAGCCGACCUGAGAGGGUAAUCGGCCACAUUGGGACUGAGACACGGCCCAAACUCCUACGGGAGGCAGCAGUAGGGAAUCUUCCACAAUGGACGAAAGUCUGAUGGAGCAACGCCGCGUGAGUGAUGAAGGGUUUCGGCUCGUAAAACUCUGUUGUUGGAGAAGAACAGGUGUCAGAGUAACUGUUGACAUCUUGACGGUAUCCAACCAGAAAGCCACGGCUAACUACGUGCCAGCAGCCGCGGUAAUACGUAGGUGGCAAGCGUUGUCCGGAUUUAUUGGGCGUAAAGCGAGCGCAGGCGGUUUUUUAGGUCUGAUGUGAAAGCCUUCGGCUUAACCGGAGAAGUGCAUCGGAAACCGGGAGACUUGAGUGCAGAAGAGGACAGUGGAACUCCAUGUGUAGCGGUGAAAUGCGUAGAUAUAUGGAAGAACACCAGUGGCGAAGGCGGCUGUCUGGUCUGUAACUGACGCUGAGGCUCGAAAGCAU